UAAGAGAGAGAGAGAGAGCGCAACCAAUUACAUUAUUUGCUAAAUUUACUAACCAAAAUAAAUUACAUAAGGCGCAGUUAUCGCUUUCGAAGUUCAUCCCGUCUUGCAGUUAUUUAAUUGGUUUCGUUCAGCUCACACUUAGGGGUGUGCAUUUGGAUCGGGUAUCCGAAAUCCGAAUUGAUCUGCUCAAUUUCGGAUUUCGGAUAUUUGGAUCGGAUUCGGAUUUGAUUUAUUAAAAUUUUGAAUUUUUGGAUUGGAUUUGGAUUUGUAUUGUUUGAACCCGAUCCGAUCCGAAAUCCGAAUUUAUUAGGGAAAGUGUAAAUACUAAUUUUAUUUUUAGGGUUAGAACUUAUUUCAUUCUCGUUCUUUUCUCACAGUCAUAUCUCAGAGACUCAGACUUUGACUCUCAGAGAGACAGAGACUACUGUUUCACGCCACAAGCUGCUCCUGCUCGUCGCUUCCUCUGUCUCUUCUUUGUGUUCCGGCGACCAACGACCGCACUGGUAAGACACUACGACUCACUCCUUCUCUCUCUCUCUUUCUCCUCCUUUCUUAGAGCUUAAAGGAAGUGUUUGUUCUCUUUUAUUUCUUGGAUAAAAUUGAUGAAAUAAAUUGAGGGUUUCACUCUUGAUUUUCUUAAACAAAAAUAUACUAUACUAUAAUGGGGCACACAUCAUUUCCUUCGUGAUGUACCCAGGCCAACGCUAGUUGAGNNNNNNNNNNNNNNNNNNNNNNNNNAUAUAUAUAUAUAUAUAUAUAUAUAUAUAUAUAUAUAUAUAUCAAAUUCAAUAUGUAGUUAGUUUCUUUUGAAAUAGAAACUAACUAGAAAGAAAGAAUUGGCUUUGAUUGGUCAAGGCAGAACUUAGCGAUUCUAGCUAACACUAGAUUUAAAGCUCAAAUUUCUGCGUUCUUAAUAUAUAAAUCUUCUGCAGAAGUUAAAAAAAAAAAAACAACUCGGUACGCUCCUGUAGCUAUACUACUAUUUUGAAUCUGAUUUUACUUUUAAUUUUUUGUUUUGUUUCGUAGAUGGAAGAUGAGGUAGAGAUGGUGAAUGAAGUUCAAGCUCUUGUAAAAUGUGGUGAAAGUGGUGCUUAAGCCUUCAGUUCCUACAGUUAUUAUAGGCGUAAGCCUUCUAAUAAACUGAACCAAGUUGUUGCAUUAGGCUUAAGCCUUCUAAUAAACUGAACCAAGCUGCUGCAUUAAGCCUUCUCUAUUGUAUUGUCUUGUUCUGCCACCAAGCAGUCAAGCUGCUGCAUUAGGCUAUGUUCUGAUGAACAUUGAAAACAGCUUGUAUAGGCUGCAUAUAGGUUGCUGCAUAUAGGUUGUCCAGCUUAACAUGAUACACAUUUACUGAUUCUCUCAUUUUUGACAAGUGCAGUGUUACAGAACUUGAAAGCGUGCCAGGAAUCAGGACGGAAUGCGAUGGCCAUAGAAGUUGGAACUUGGAACUCUUUUGUGUAAUCUAUUAAGGAAUUCUGGUUGAGGAUUUCAGUUCAUUAGUGAUUAGACAUCUAUUUGGGAUUUUAGUUAAUUUUGUUUUGUUAUGAAGAAUGAAGAUUGUGUUUUGUUUAUGGACGCCUGUGAAUUUCUUUGAAAGACGCCUAUGAUGAACUGGUGCUUACCACAUGCAACUGAAUUUUCUCAAAUAUUUGCAUGCUUUGUUUGUCUUUCUCACUAUAGUCUUUGGAUUUGC
This 1693-nucleotide long non-coding RNA is filed under the name Nicotiana tabacum (common tobacco). RNAcentral describes it as "long non-coding RNA (NTAB_LNC007400)". The record is from RNAcentral. Lineage: Eukaryota; Viridiplantae; Streptophyta; Magnoliopsida; Solanales; Solanaceae.